Long non-coding RNA from Tachyglossus aculeatus (Australian echidna), 361 nucleotides. RefSeq lists it as uncharacterized. The record is from RefSeq and is a predicted model, not a curated record. The transcript has 3 exons. NCBI's taxonomy places the organism in Eukaryota, Metazoa, Chordata, Mammalia, Monotremata, Tachyglossidae.
GAGGAUGCAGACAUUGAAAGACCAAGUAUGAUCAGAUUUCAGGGGUUUGCUGGUGUUAUUGUGCUAAAGACUAAAACUACCUUCCAGCAGCUGACACUGAAAGACUGCUGGAGGAGCUGGGAUUUCAUGAAGGCUAUGUGAAACGAGUUGAGUUCUGGAAAACUGGAAAAUAUGGGAGAGUUCUGCCCAGUGGAACAGUAUGAGCAAAGUAAUAGAGGAGCCAGUGUUACAGCUGUCAUAUCGCCCAUCAAUCAACUGCAUCAUUAUUUCCUUAUGAUAACCCCCAUCAUCCAUCAAUUGCAUCACCAUGGCCUUAUUCGUCUGCCUGCCUGAUGAUAAUAUCCUGUUCUGUAAAUAAACC